GACGAACGCUGGCGGCGUGCCUAAUACAUGCAAGUAGAACGCUGAAGAGAGGAGCUUGCUCUUCUUGGAAGAGUUGCGAACGGGUGAGUAACGCGUAGGUAACCUGCCUUGUAGCGGGGGAUAACUAUUGGAAACGAUAGCUAAUACCGCAUAACAAUGGGUGACCCAUGUCAUUCAUUUAAAAGGGGCAACUGCUCCACUACAAGAUGGACCUGCGUUGUAUUAGCUAGUAGGUGAGGUAACGGCUCACCUAGGCGACGAUACAUAGCCGACCUGAGAGGGUGAUCGGCCACACUGGGACUGAGACACGGCCCAGACUCCUACGGGAGGCAGCAGUAGGGAAUCUUCGGCAAUGGGGGCAACCCUGACCGAGCAACGCCGCGUGAGUGAAGAAGGUUUUCGGAUCGUAAAGCUCUGUUGUAAGUCAAGAACGAGUGUGAGAGUGGAAAGUUCACACUGUGACGGUAGCUUACCAGAAAGGGACGGCUAACUACGUGCCAGCAGCCGCGGUAAUACGUAGGUCCCGAGCGUUGUCCGGAUUUAUUGGGCGUAAAGCGAGCGCAGGCGGUUUGAUAAGUCUGAAGUUAAAGGCUGUGGCUCAACCAUAGUUCGCUUUGGAAACUGUCAAACUUGAGUGCAGAAGGGGAGAGUGGAAUUCCAUGUGUAGCGGUGAAAUGCGUAGAUAUAUGGAGGAACACCGGUGGCGAAAGCGGCUCUCUGGUCUGUAACUGACGCUGAGGCUCGAAAGCGUGGGGGAGCGAACAGG
Molecule: ribosomal RNA, 766 nt
Filed under: uncultured Streptococcus sp.
Lineage: Bacteria; Bacillati; Bacillota; Bacilli; Lactobacillales; Streptococcaceae
Description: bacterial SSU rRNA
Rfam family: Bacterial small subunit ribosomal RNA
Source: RNAcentral